This 253-nucleotide ribosomal RNA is filed under the name uncultured bacterium. RNAcentral's name for it is "partial 16S ribosomal RNA". It matches the Rfam family "Bacterial small subunit ribosomal RNA", at positions 524 to 776 of the family's 1533-position model. The record is from RNAcentral.
UACGAAGGGGGCUAGCGUUGUUCGGAAUUACUGGGCGUAAAGCGUGCGCAGGCGGUUCUAUAAGACAGAUGUGAAAUCCCCGGGCUCAACCUGGGAACUGCAUUUGUGACUGUAGAGCUGGAGUACGGUAGAGGGGGAUGGAAUUCCGCGUGUAGCAGUGAAAUGCGUAGAUAUGCGGAGGAACACCGAUGGCGAAGGCAAUCCCCUGGACCUGUACUGACGCUCAUGCACGAAAGCGUGGGGAGCAAACAGG